Molecule: ribosomal RNA, 547 nt
Filed under: uncultured bacterium
Lineage: Bacteria
Description: bacterial SSU rRNA
Rfam family: Bacterial small subunit ribosomal RNA
Source: RNAcentral
GGUGGGGUCAUAGCCCACCAAGACGAUGAUCCAUAGCUGGUCUGAGAGGAUGAUCAGCCACACUGGGAGUGAGACACGGCCCAGACUCCUAUGGGAGGCAGCAGUGGGGAAUAUUGGACAAUGGGGGAAACCCUGAUCCAGCAAUGCCGCGUGUGUGAAGAAGGCCUUCGGGUUGUAAAGCACUUUCAGCAGGAAAGAAAGUCUUAAAGUUAAUACCUUUAAUGAGUUGACGUUACCUGCAGAAGAAGCACUGGCUAACUCUGUGCCAGCAGCCGCGGUAAUACAGAGAGUGCAAGCGUUAAUCGGAAUUACUGGGCGUAAAGCGCGCGUAGGUGGAUAUUAAAGUCGGGUGUGAAAGCCCCGAGCUUAACUCGGGAAUUGCGUUCGAUACUGAGUAUCUAGAGUAUAGUAGAGGGAAGUGGAAUUUCCGGUGUAGCGGUGAAAUGCGUAGAUAUCGGAAGGAACACCAGUGGCGAAGGCGGCUUCCUGGACUAAUACUGACACUGAGGUGCGAAAGCGUAGGGAGCAAACAGGAUUAGAUACCCUG